Podarcis lilfordi (Lilford's wall lizard) is the source of this 75-nucleotide non-coding RNA. The record is from the annotation of a GenBank genome assembly. NCBI's taxonomy places the organism in Eukaryota, Metazoa, Chordata, Lepidosauria, Squamata, Lacertidae.
AGAUCUGUACCUCAGUGGUAGAGCAUCUGCUUUGCAUGCAGAAGGUCCCAUGUUCAGUUCCCAGUAGCAGAUCCA